GGUGUCCUCUCGUGACCUGGCCGUUGAGAAGCGACUUUUGCUUCCCCCGCUCUCACCCCCAAUUUCUGGGGGCGGCACACGCAGCGCAAAGAGCACCCCGAGAUUUGUAGUCCUUCCCAAAACAAGAACGUCGGUCUCCCUGGGUCGGAUGGGGAAGAGCGAACUACAACUCCCGUGAAGCGGUGCGCUCGUUCCGACCAACACCGGCGAGGUGUUCAAUGAGAAAACGGGCCUGGGGGGCGUUUGAAAUCGACCCACAGAUAUCCGAUGUUAUAUUAUACUUAAUGAUGUAAGAGCAGGACAUUUCUGUUGCAGCUCGGGGCAAUGUGAGGAAGUUUCUAAAACCAAAACAGCCCAGCGGAUCCGAACCCGUUUGCUUCACAAUCUUAUCUGCAAAGUUCAUUUAACUUGACAACUCAAAGUACCAGCUGCUGGAAGUUAUGUUCCUCACUACCACUGGGAAUACCCAAUUCGGCCUGUCGCGGAAUGUUAACCAGUUUCGGUAACUCAACGAACUUCAGUUUUGAUGAAUAUUCUAUUCUGUCACUACGCCAGAAUACUUCCUAGGGAAAGAAACAGAUGUACUAGCCUUCAGAUCGAAAGAACUGCAUCGGGAUCGUAUUUCAAUGAGCAUUUCACUCAAAAUCGCAGUUUUUUUUCCCCCUGAUGAAGGGUCCAGACCCGAAACGUCAGCCUUCCUGCUCCUCUGAUGCUGCUUGGCCUGCUGUGUUCAGCCGGAUCGACACCGUAUUAAAAAUCACAGGACUGCAUUUGCUGGAGCUCUGAAACAAACCGAAAUCGCUCGAGAAACCCAGCAGGUCGGGUAGCGUCUGUGUAGAAAAAAAAAAGUGAAUGUUUCGAGGCCAGUGUUAAGACGAAGGCUUACUGGACUCGAACGCUAACACUGUUUUCUCUGCAUCUCUGCCCCGAUACCGCUAGACGUGAUAUAGCCAAGAACUCAAGAGGCUAGAGAAGAAAUUAUAGGGGCCGUGGCUGAUAUAUUUGCAUCACCGUUAGCCACAGGCAAGAUCCCAGAAGACUGGAGGAUAGUGAAUGUUGUGCCCUUAUUCAAGAAGGGCUGCAAAGAAAAACCUGGGACUUACAGACCACUAAGCUUAACAUCUGUGGUAGCUCUCGACGGAAGUGCACAGGAAAUUCCACUUCAGGAUCAUGCUGAAAAUUUUUUUUUGAAUAAAAGGCAACAAAUUAAGAGAUGGGAUUGAGAUUCAUAUCCCAACAGAACUUGGAUCAAUUCAAAAACUGAGCUUCCAUGAAGACUUAAACUGAGGAAACCAUGAAUUCACAUUCAAGACUGCUUUUGGGCUUUGAACAUUUAAGUUGGGAAUGGAUAUCUGUGAUUGAUAGCAACUCUAAUCAGGUUGAUCAAUUCUAUCACGCAUGACUGGAGCAAGUGGGGAACUUGAACCUGUGCCUCCCAGUGCAGGCUUAGGGACACUACCACUGCCUAAUGAACCAAUUAAUAAAUAGCAUUCAAUUAACUUCAUUCUUUAGUUUUCACUCAGAAGUCUGCUAAAUCAAUUGAUGCAAGAUAUCCAAAUAAUGUGAUUUUCUUAGAUUUCCAACAAUUGAGUCACAAAAUUUAGCGGUGUCAUGAAAAGAAAAAUAUUUCCAUUUGUGCAGCAACUUUCAUAACCCCGGAACUUCAAAACUCUACAAUGUACUUUCAAAAUACAUUACAAAAGUACGCCAUUGUGGGAUCAUAAUAUUUACACCUCAUAGCCAAUUUGCAAAUAGCAUGAUCCUAGCUGAUGAGAAACCAGAUCCAGAAUGAAAUCUUAUUUGAUAUAUUGUUAUUAUUUAAUGGUGGUCUUUCACUCAAAUCUGGUUUCAAUAAUGAAACAGAAGAUUAUACAAAAUAAGAGGUAAUAGACCUACUUAACAGUUGAAGAUUUUUGCACAUACAGGAGAGGCAUUCUAUCCUAACAGCAGCCCCAUUACACUACUUAAAAUUCCCUUCUCUAUCACAUGUAUACAAAUAGAGAAAAGAGUAGGCCAUUUGGCCCUUCAAACCUGCUCUGCCAUUCAAUACCAUCAUAGCUGAUAAACCAACUCAAUAUCCUACUAAGAUAAUAAAAUGUGAGGCUGGAUGAACACAGCAGGCCCAGCAUCAUCUCAGGAGCACAAAAGCUGACGUUUCGGGCCUGGACUCUUCAUCUCUCACUUUCUCCCAAUACCCUUUGAUCCCUUUAGCCCCAAGUAUAUAUCUAACUAGCUUUUUUUUUGUUUUGAAAUCAUGCGAUGUUUUGGCCUUGACUGCUUUGUGAUAGCAAAUUCCAUAGGCUCACCACUCUGAAGAAAUUUCACAUCUCAGUCCUAAAUGGUUAACCCUCCAUCAUUGGGCUCCAUUGGACUUCACUGUUAUCAGAAACAUCCUUCCUGCAUCCAACUUGUUUAGUCUUGUUAGGAUUUUAUAGGUCUGAGAUUCAGUGCCUAACAAACAGAUUAGUCAAGAUAGCAUCAGCAUUCACGAAGUCAAAUUCUUCAGUUUCUGAUGGACCUUAGCAUACCAGUAAGAUGCGAAUCAGUUUUGCUAACAGGAUGGUUACUAAAUUAAUUCUUCCACUAUUGAACUAGAUUGACCACCCCCAGGCACAGUAGUUAGUGAUGUAGUAAAAUAGCAAACACAAACAAUGGGCUUCAAAACCAAAGCAAAUAGCAUUCCCUCAGCAAUUUUUGCGACAAAUUGAGGGGUACAAGGACAAAGAAACAGUGAUAAGUCAAAACAGACAUCUGUAUGAUUUCACCAUGAAAACAAGUAUUGUAAUCAAGAUCUCAAUGUUUUGGAGCAAAAUCCUGUAUGUACAAAAUAGGCUUUACCUUUUAAAAAGCUAGUACGGUCUUGUCACGCCAAAAUGGGUACGGCUACUAUUACUGUAACAGUACACUAAUAUGAAAAAUAGGCCUCUGGAGCCAUUUCUGCUGCUGGCAGACAAUUAAAAACUAAUUACAAAAGAGAACUACAGCAUAGGAACAGGCCCUUUGGCCCUCCAAGCCUGUGCCGAUCAUGCCCUGACUAAACUAAAAAACACCUUCUGCCCUUAUUCAGUCUGCAUCCCUCUAUUCCCUCCCUAUUCAUCUAACCAUCCAGAUGCCUCUUAAAUGUCAACUUGCCUGCUUCUAAUACCACCUCUGGCAAUGCAUUUGAGGUUCCACCACUGUGUGAAAAACUUUCCUCACACAUCUCCUUUAAACUUUGCUCUCUCACCCUGAACCUGUGCCCUCUUGUAAUUGAGAAUUGAACCCUUGGUAAAAGCCAGACUAUCUUACUCUAUCAAUGCCUCUCAAUUUUGAGGACCUCGAUCAGGUUCACCUCUUAGCCACCUUCUUUCCAGUGAAAACAAUCCUAGUCUUUUUAACCUUUCCUCAUAGUCAAAGCCCUCAAGAUGGGGCAACAUCCUGAACCUUUUCUGCACUGUCUCCAAAGCUUCAUGUCCUUUUGGAUAUGUAGCGACCAAAACGGCACACCAUACUCCAAAUGCAGCCUAACAAUGAUUUUAUAUAGCUACAUGUUUUGCCAACUCAUAGUCCAAGCCCCAGCCAAUGAAAGCCAUUGUGCCAUAUACCUUCUUAAUGACUUCAACUACCUAUAUUGCCACUUUAAAGGGAACUGCAGACCUGCACACCUGGAUCUGUCUGUAUGUUAAUAUUCCUAAGGCCUCUUCCGUUAACAGUAUAAUUCACACCUAAAUUUGAUCCUCCAAAAUGCAUCACCUCACAUUUGCCUGGAUUAAUCUCCAUCUGCUAUUUCUGUUCCUAAGUUACCUAUCUAUAUUCUGUUGUAUACUUUCACAAUCAUCAGCACUAAUCAGCCACUCCAAUCUUUGUCAUCUGCAAACAUGCUAAUCAGACCCACAUUUUCCUCCAAAAUCAUUUAUAUAUACACACUACAGAGGACCUAAGACCGAUCCCUGUGGAACACUAGUUGCCAGCCUCCAGUCUGAAGAACACCCUUUCACCGCUACCCUCUAUCUUCUAUGACCAAGCCAGUUUUGUAUCUAUCUAGCCAGCCCACUCCAAAUCCUUGAUUUUCGUUUUUGUACCAAUCUGCCAUAUGAACUACAUCCACAGCUCAUCCCUCAUCAAUUAUCUUUGUCACCUCUUUUUAAAAAAGAAAAAUUGAUCAGGUUGGUGAGGCAAGACCUUCCAGUCAUGAAACCAUACUGCCUGUUGCUAACCAGUCCAUUUUCUUCCAAAUGUGCAUAUAUCCUGUCCCUCAGUAUCUUUUCCAAGAGCUUCCCAAUCACAGUUGUCAGGCUCACCAACAUACAAAUUUCCCGCAUUAUCCCUGCUUCCUUUAAGCAAGGGAAAACAUUGGCUAAUCUCCAGUCCUCUGAAACCUCACCUGUGGUCAAGGAGAGGUUAAGGUAUCUGCUAAUGCCCCAGCUAUUUCUUCCCGUGCCCCUCUCAGUAAUCUGGGACAGAUCCUAUCUGGCCUUGGGGACUUGUCUACCUUAAUGCAAUUUAGGAUACCCAAAAACUUCCUCCUUUAAAACAGCGACAUUCACAAGUGUUCACAUACUCAUCUCUGACCUCAACAGUCAGGUCCUUCUCCUUUAUUGAUUACCGAUAAAAAGUACUCAUUGAGGAUCUCUCCCACUUCCUGUGGUUCUAUGCACAAGUCCCAUCCUUUGUCCUUGAAGGGGCCUACUCUUUCCCUUUCUACCCUCUUUCUCCUAUUAUAUGCAGAAAAAGCCUUGGGAUUCUCCUUGAUAAUACGGUGUGAAG
This is a long non-coding RNA of Stegostoma tigrinum, 4746 nucleotides long. RefSeq lists it as uncharacterized. NCBI's taxonomy places the organism in Eukaryota, Metazoa, Chordata, Chondrichthyes, Orectolobiformes, Stegostomatidae. The record is from RefSeq and is a predicted model, not a curated record. The transcript is spliced from 3 exons.